Molecule: ribosomal RNA, 103 nt
Filed under: Caerostris darwini
Lineage: Eukaryota; Metazoa; Arthropoda; Arachnida; Araneae; Araneidae
Source: RNAcentral
ACGGCCGUACCAUGCUGAAUAUACCGGUUCUCGUUAGAUCACCGAAGUCAAGCAUCAUUGGGCGCGGUCAGUACUUGGGUGGGUGACCACCUGGGAACCGUUG